RNAcentral lists this long non-coding RNA (368 nucleotides) under Mustela putorius furo (domestic ferret). Its description in RNAcentral is "lncRNA (ENSMPUG00000027976.1)". Lineage: Eukaryota; Metazoa; Chordata; Mammalia; Carnivora; Mustelidae. The record is from RNAcentral.
UUGCAACUAUAAACCAUACUAACAAAGCAAAUCUUUUGCAUAUAUAGUUUAACAUUUUUGGAGGUAUAACUUAAAAGUAAAUUUCUUUUUUUUUUUUUAAGAUUUUAUUUAUUUAUUUGACAGAGAGAAAUCACAAGCAGAUGGAGAGGCAGGCAGAGAGAGAGAGAGAGGGAAGCAGGCUCCCCGCCGAGCAGAGAGCCCGAUGCGGGACUCGAUCCCAGGACCCCGAGACCAUGACCCGAGCAGAAGGCAGCGGCCCAACCCACUGAGCCACCCAGGCGCCCCAAAAGUAAAUUUCUUUAAGGUCAGCCCGGAGAUUCUGCGUUGUUGUCACUAAGGGACCCAGACUACUGAAGUAUACAAAUGGG